Gymnodraco acuticeps is the source of this 589-nucleotide long non-coding RNA. RefSeq lists it as uncharacterized. Lineage: Eukaryota; Metazoa; Chordata; Actinopteri; Perciformes; Bathydraconidae. The record is from RefSeq and is a predicted model, not a curated record. The transcript is spliced from 3 exons.
AUUUGUGUAUAGAUGUUGCAACUAUACAGAGCUUUAGCAAUAGCCUGUAACUAUGGUCAUGCUAAUAAAGCUAUUGAAUUGAGAGAGAGAGAGAGAAAGAGAAGUGACAACAUGUGAAGAGGGACAAAGUAAUGACAGGAGAGUAGUGUGCAUUAGACAUGCUCAAGAACAAUUAUAGAGAAGACAUUCAAGGAGAGAGAGACAAAACACAGAUUCAACGGCUGCCAUGUUGUGUCCUUUCUGUGGCCAGCAUCUGGGGACAGUUCAAGUGUUCUGUGGCUCCUGUGGCAAACAUGUACCGUUUUUGACAGAAGUUGAACACAACAGCAUUCCAUAAGGAGGGUCAGGAACUCACGCUUGGGACCACCAGUGUCCCCUCCAUCCUCAGUGUGUCCCUCAUCAUCAGUGAACUUAACUGACAUCUCAUGAGAGGGAUCGAAUGAGGCACCUUUGAAGCCGCGGAUUGCUCCAUCCCACACAUUGGCUCUAUUCAUAUUGAACCGGCUGCAAGAUGUAUUUGUUCUUUUUGCAGAGAGUUUUGCAACAAUGUGUGCCGCAGUCAGGUAAUCUGUGCUGGGAAAGACAAAGU